Molecule: ribosomal RNA, 322 nt
Filed under: uncultured bacterium
Lineage: Bacteria
Description: bacterial SSU rRNA
Rfam family: Bacterial small subunit ribosomal RNA
Source: RNAcentral
GAUGAACGCUGGCGGCGUGCUUAACACAUGCAAGUCGAACGAAGCGCUUAAAUGGAUUUCUUCGGAUUGAAGUUUUUGUGACUGAGUGGCGGACGGGUGAGUAACGCGUGGGUAACCUGCCUCAUACAGGGGGAUAACAGUUGGAAACGGCUGCUAAUACCGCAUAAGCGCACAGUACCGCAUGGUACGGUGUGAAAACUCCGGUGGUAUGAGAUGGACCCGCGUCUGAUUAGGUAGUUGGUGGGUAACGGCCUACCAAGCCGACGAUCAGUAGCCGACCUGAGAGGGUGACCGGCCACAUUGGGACUGAGACACGGCCCAA